CAGCAGGCGCGAAAACUUUACAAUGCCGGCAACGGCGAUAAGGGAACCUCGAGUACCAGGUUACAAAUCUGGCUGUCGUGAUGCCUAAAAAGCAUUGCAUAGCAAGGGCCGGGCAAGACCGGUGCCAGCCGCCGCGGUAACACCGGCGGCUCGAGUGGUAACCGUUAUUAUUGGGUCUAAAGGGUCUGUAGCCGGCCGGGUAAGUCUCUUGGGAAAUCUGGCAGCUUAACUGUCAGGCUUUCAGGAGAUACUGCCUGGCUCGAGGCCGGGAGAGGUGAGAGGUACUUCAGGGGUAGGGGUGAAAUCUUGUAAUCCUUGAAGGACCACCAGUGGCGAAGGCGUCUCACCAGAACGGACCUGACGGCAAGGGACGAAAGCUAGGGGCACGAACCGGAUUAGAUACCCGGGUAGUCCUAGCCGUAAACGAUACUCGCUAGGUGUCGGCCACGGUGCGACCGUGGUCGGUGCCGUAGGGAAGCCGUGAAGCGAGCCACCUGGGAAGUACGGCCGCAAGGCUGAAACUUAAAGGAAUUGGCGGGGGAGCAC
This 546-nucleotide ribosomal RNA is filed under the name uncultured archaeon. Its description in RNAcentral is "bacterial SSU rRNA". It matches the Rfam family "Archaeal small subunit ribosomal RNA", at positions 333 to 879 of the family's 1478-position model. The record is from RNAcentral.